This is a long non-coding RNA of Centropristis striata (black sea bass), 2432 nucleotides long. RefSeq lists it as uncharacterized. The record is from RefSeq and is a predicted model, not a curated record. Lineage: Eukaryota; Metazoa; Chordata; Actinopteri; Perciformes; Serranidae. The transcript is spliced from 4 exons.
CUAGCUGUCAAACAAACAAACAAACAAACAUGGCGGACUGAAAAUAUAACCGUCUGACGUCGAGCGUAAUUAAUCAAAUAUACCCGAAAGAGAAUUAUUACAGAGCUUCAAGAACGACAAUUAACUAAUUUACUCACCGUUCAGCCUAUGUCCAGCAGAAAAACAAAGAGUCGUCCAGGACGACAGCUCCAUCCACGCGUCUGGCAGAAGGGUUGUCACAGCGGAAACAUCCAGAGCACGGUGCAGGGCCGACGGGGAGGGAAGGACAAUUAGGAGUCGGCUUGGAUCAAAACCACCCGUCAGGCUGCCGGAUGCAUCAUCUGUCUGCAGGAAAAGUGUGAAUAGAUGCCACCGGCUGCAGAGUAGAGGCAGGAUUACCGGAUCAGCUUUGUUAAAGGUUUCUUGGAGUGACAAGUUCCUUUCGUACCUGCUGAUGUCAGACAUCUCAUAAAUAUCUGCUGAGCGAGGUGUUUUUACUCUAAGACUACACUAGUCUAUGAGAGCUUCAUGCUGUCGGAGAAGUCGAGGAGCCAGCUCUACAAUAACACAGCAGACUUUGACACUGAUGUGACUGUUCCAGUUUGUCAUUGAGAGGUGAUAUCAGUGCUGAUCGCUGGCCGAGCUACAGCUAAUAUCUGUAGAUGUCACUCACCAAAGUGCAGGAGGAGAAGACGACAGAGAGCAGUGCCGGGUGUCUGUGCUGUUAUCACUAAAUAAACUCCGUCUGACACAGAGCCAAAAUACCUGCUCAGUGUUCAGACACGCAAACUGGACCAAAUGAAAUCUGGAGCAUUUUUGCAACAAUCAUUUCUUGUUAAAUCUCUAAGAAAAUCCCUCUACUUUUGUUUAUUUGUUUGUGGUUUAAGAAUGUGUUUCUUUUUUGUGAUCAAGAGCUGUGUUUCCAUUAAAGUGAAAGCAAAUUUUGAUAUGUCACCUUAAAGAAAAUAAGAAUUGGGGACAUUUCUAUCAGCUGGUUUAGAACAAAUAUACAAAGCUGCAUAAACGUACUUUGCUCAGAAGAUGGCAGUGUAAUGUGUUGCUGUAGGCUAAUCCGUCAGUAAACAGUAGAAGAAGUAGAGAAACAUAAAAAAGAGGUUGCUAUUCGGACAACUUUGUCCACCCACGAGAGAAAAUGGAGAGAAGUCUUCAGUUUGGAGAGACAGCCUCAUCUUCAAAUUAGCUGACUGUAACUGGGAUGUUUAUGCACAUUUGAGGCUUCCUUUUCUGUCUAUACACACAACAUCCAAGUCCGGGUGAAGUAAAGUCAGAGAUUUGUAUGAAAACUUUUAUUUUACAAGCUAAAAAAUAAUAUCUCACAACAUGUAAAGACUUAAAACUUUAUAUGACUGAAUUUUGGAUAUGGAUUAAAACUCAUGGCUCAAAAAUCAUGGCUCGAUGACACACUGGAGCUUCCUUAUGAUAACUCCGCCCCCAAAUCUAUAUAAGCGUCUUUACCAACAGCAGCUAACGUUAAUACAUUUAUUUAUAACUUCUUCCGCAUGAACACGACCUAAUUCUCUGCUCAGGACGCCAUCACUCAACUACAUCUUUACACAGCUAAUGGUAGUUUGCUGCUAUAUUAAUGCUCUGAAUGUUAACAGAACUUUAAAAUCUUUGGAAAAACAUUUUUCUUUCUCUUAAUUGGCAGUGGAGCCAUUCUCAUUAUGUUGUAGUAUUAAUAUCUCCUGUUGGUACAAAAAAGAAAAUCCACUGAUGUCUUGUAUUUUGCAACUUAAAUAACCUGCUUAAACAUCAAACCAUUAAAAUUUUUAAUAUUAUUUUCUGUAAACACUGUUAUUAUGAAAUUGGAGUAAAGGUUUGCAUUGUGCAUUAGUGUUACCACCGUGACCUCACGGGGACGCUGUUGGAGCGUUAUAUUUCUGCUCUUAUUUAGACUUUUAUAACUGUACAUGGUCUGCAAUCUAUAUUGAAGCCUACUGUCUGCAUGUACUCUCUAGGAGCAUGUUAAAUAUUAUGGAACAAGCUGCUCAGUGUUUACAAGCUGACAAGGACUGAGUUUUGUUUAGAAUUUUUCAUCUUAAAGAUCAGUGUUUUGGUACACUGUGUGAAGUCAGACGAUUACUACAAAGCGUUGUGAUUUUUCAAUAUUUUAUUUUAUUACCGACCCACACAAGUUUUGUUUGUUCCAGACCAAAACAUAAAGCUCCAGAUAGAUAACCAGCUGUCGUUUCCUUACAGUGGGUUUCAUGUUAGAGUCACAGAUGUGGCGUUUGUGGUCACACCUGCUGACUAUUACUGUACCAGCUGUGAGUGAGUGUGCAGCUGGUUUAGUCUCUCUGUGUCGCAGCUGUCGAACACUGUCCCACCUGCAAGAUGAGCAGCUUGUGUAAGAGUGCUGUCAUACACAGCUCUGAAAAAUUAAGAGACCACUCUCACAAAUGUUUCUUGAAUCGGCAUCUGUACAUCUAUGG